UGGGGAAUAUUGCACAAUGGGCGAAAGCCUGAUGCAGCAACGCCGCGUGAGUGAUGAAGGCCUUCGGGUUGUAAAGCUCUGUCUUUUGGGACGAUAAUGACGGUACCAAAGGAGGAAGCCACGGCUAACUACGUGCCAGCAGCCGCGGUAAUACGUAGGUGGCAAGCGUUGUCCGGAUUUACUGGGCGUAAAGGAUGCGUAGGCGGAUUUUUAAGUGAGAUGUGAAAUACCCGGGCUUAACUUGGGUGCUGCAUUUCAAACUGGGAGUCUAGAGUGCGGGAGAGGAGAAUGGAAUUCCUAGUGUAGCGGUGAAAUGCGUAGAGAUUAGGAAGAACACCAGUGGCGAAGGCGAUUCUCUGGACCGUAACUGACGCUGAGGCAUGAAAGCGUGGGUAGCAAACAGGAUUAGAUACCCUGGUAGUCCACGCCGUAAACGAUGAGUACUAGGUGUAGGAGGUAUCGACCCCUUCUGUGCCGCAGUUAACACAAUAAGUACUCCGCCU
This 503-nucleotide ribosomal RNA is filed under the name uncultured bacterium. RNAcentral describes it as "partial 16S ribosomal RNA". It matches the Rfam family "Bacterial small subunit ribosomal RNA", at positions 355 to 874 of the family's 1533-position model. The record is from RNAcentral.